Molecule: ribosomal RNA, 3011 nt
Filed under: Salmonella enterica subsp. enterica serovar Typhimurium
Lineage: Bacteria; Pseudomonadati; Pseudomonadota; Gammaproteobacteria; Enterobacterales; Enterobacteriaceae
Description: bacterial LSU rRNA
Rfam family: Bacterial large subunit ribosomal RNA
Source: RNAcentral
GGGUUGUGAGGUUAAGCGACUAAGCGUACACGGUGGAUGCCCUGGCAGUCAGAGGCGAUGAAGGGCGUGCUAAUCUGCGAUAAGCGCCGGUAAGGUGAUAUGAACCGUUAUAACCGGCGAUACCCGAAUGGGGAAACCCAGUGUGAUUGGUCACACUAUCAUUAACUGAAUCCAUAGGUUAAUGAGGCGAACCGGGGGAACUGAAACAUCUAAGUACCCCGAGGAAAAGAAAUCAACCGAGAUUCCCCCAGUAGCGGCGAGCGAACGGGGAGGAGCCCAGAGCCUGAAUCAGCAUGUGUGUUAGUGGAAGCGUCUGGAAAGGCGCGCGAUACAGGGUGACAGCCCCGUACACAAAAGCGCAUGUGCUGUGAGCUCGAUGAGUAGGGCGGGACACGUGGUAUCCUGUCUGAAUAUGGGGGGACCAUCCUCCAAGGCUAAAUACUCCUGACUGACCGAUAGUGAACCAGUACCGUGAGGGAAAGGCGAAAAGAACCCCGGCGAGGGGAGUGAAAAAGAACCUGAAACCGUGUACGUACAAGCAGUGGGAGCACCCUUCGGGGUGUGACUGCGUACCUUUUGUAUAAUGGGUCAGCGACUUAUAUUCUGUAGCAAGGUUAACCGUAUAGGGGAGCCGGAGGGAAACCGAGUCUUAAUUGGGCGUUAAGUUGCAGGGUAUAGACCCGAAACCCGGUGAUCUAGCCAUGGGCAGGUUGAAGGUUGGGUAACACUAACUGGAGGACCGAACCGACUAAUGUUGAAAAAUUAGCGGAUGACCUGUGGCUGGGGGUGAAAGGCCAAUCAAACCGGGAGAUAGCUGGUUCUCCCCGAAAGCUAUUUAGGUAGCGCCUCGUGAAUUCAUCUCCGGGGGUAGAGCACUGUUUCGGCUAGGGGGCCAUCCCGGCUUACCAACCCGAUGCAAACUGCGAAUACCGGAGAAUGUUAUCACGGGAGACACACGGCGGGUGCUAACGUCCGUCGUGAAGAGGGAAACAACCCAGACCGCCAGCUAAGGUCCCAAAGUCAUGGUUAAGUGGGAAACGAUGUGGGAAGGCCCAGACAGCCAGGAUGUUGGCUUAGAAGCAGCCAUCAUUUAAAGAAAGCGUAAUAGCUCACUGGUCGAGUCGGCCUGCGCGGAAGAUGUAACGGGGCUAAACCAUGCACCGAAGCUGCGGCAGCGAACGUAUCACCCAAGACAACUUUACGGAGUUGACGAUUGACGGAGCGAAGCGACGUCAAAGCGUUCAUUAAAGUCGAGUUGGCUUAGGGAUACGUUCGUUGGGUAGGGGAGCGUUCUGUAAGCCUGUGAAGGUGUGUCGUGAGGCAUGCUGGAGGUAUCAGAAGUGCGAAUGCUGACAUAAGUAACGAUAAAGCGGGUGAAAAGCCCGCUCGCCGGAAGACCAAGGGUUCCUGUCCAACGUUAAUCGGGGCAGGGUGAGUCGACCCCUAAGGCGAGGCCGAAAGGCGUAGUCGAUGGGAAACGGGUUAAUAUUCCCGUACUUGGUGUUACUGCGAAGGGGGGACGGAGAAGGCUAUGUUGGCCGGGCGACGGUUGUCCCGGUUUAAGGGUGUAGGUGUGUGUUCCAGGUAAAUCCGGUUCACUUUAACACUGAGGCGUGACGACGAGGCACUACGGUGCUGAAGCAACAAAUGCCCUGCUUCCAGGAAAAGCCUCUAAGCAUCAGGUAACAUCAAAUCGUACCCCAAACCGACACAGGUGGUCAGGUAGAGAAUACCAAGGCGCUUGAGAGAACUCGGGUGAAGGAACUAGGCAAAAUGGUGCCGUAACUUCGGGAGAAGGCACGCUGACACGUAGGUGAAGUGAUUUACUCAUGGAGCUGAAGUCAGUCGAAGAUACCAGCUGGCUGCAACUGUUUAUUAAAAACACAGCACUGUGCAAACACGAAAGUGGACGUAUACGGUGUGACGCCUGCCCGGUGCCGGAAGGUUAAUUGAUGGGGUCAGCGUAAGCGAAGCUCCUGAUCGAAGCCCCGGUAAACGGCGGCCGUAACUAUAACGGUCCUAAGGUAGCGAAAUUCCUUGUCGGGUAAGUUCCGACCUGCACGAAUGGCGUAAUGAUGGCCAGGCUGUCUCCACCCGAGACUCAGUGAAAUUGAACUCGCUGUGAAGAUGCAGUGUACCCGCGGCAAGACGGAAAGACCCCGUGAACCUUUACUAUAGCUUGACACUGAACAUUGAGCCUUGAUGUGUAGGAUAGGUGGGAGGCUUUGAAGUGUGGACGCCAGUCUGCAUGGAGCCGACCUUGAAAUACCACCCUUUAAUGUUUGAUGUUCUAACGUGGACCCGUAAUCCGGGUUGCGGACAGUGUCUGGUGGGUAGUUUGACUGGGGCGGUCUCCUCCUAAAGAGUAACGGAGGAGCACGAAGGUUGGCUAAUCCUGGUCGGACAUCAGGAGGUUAGUGCAAUGGCAUAAGCCAGCUUGACUGCGAGCGUGACGGCGCGAGCAGGUGCGAAAGCAGGUCAUAGUGAUCCGGUGGUUCUGAAUGGAAGGGCCAUCGCUCAACGGAUAAAAGGUACUCCGGGGAUAACAGGCUGAUACCGCCCAAGAGUUCAUAUCGACGGCGGUGUUUGGCACCUCGAUGUCGGCUCAUCACAUCCUGGGGCUGAAGUAGGUCCCAAGGGUAUGGCUGUUCGCCAUUUAAAGUGGUACGCGAGCUGGGUUUAGAACGUCGUGAGACAGUUCGGUCCCUAUCUGCCGUGGGCGCUGGAGAACUGAGGGGGGCUGCUCCUAGUACGAGAGGACCGGAGUGGACGCAUCACUGGUGUUCGGGUUGUCAUGCCAAUGGCACUGCCCGGUAGCUAAAUGCGGAAGAGAUAAGUGCUGAAAGCAUCUAAGCACGAAACUUGCCCCGAGAUGAGUUCUCCCUGAGACUUAGAGUCUCCUGAAGGAACGUUGAAGACGACGACGUUGAUAGGCCGGGUGUGUAAGCGCAGCGAUGCGUUGAGCUAACCGGUACUAAUGAACCGUGAGGCUUAACCUUACAACGCCGAAG